UGGAGUGAAACAAGGAAGGCAUCGCUCUUUUUCUUGAGCCAAACGUGAGACUGCCUUCUGCGUCGAGCUGAACAAGGAAGGCAGGCGGCUCGAUCAUCCGACUGCAAAUCGUGCUGUCUUCCUUCCCAUCCGACGCCCACCGUCGCCAUCGCAAGUGUUUUGAAUACAAGUUAAUCCAUCAUUGUCUCUUACCUCAAGAUCCUAAAAAGCAAGCCUUGAAUCAUCAGAUAGUAGCUAAUAUCGAAGGAAAAGGGAGGA
This is a long non-coding RNA of Ananas comosus (pineapple), 258 nucleotides long. RefSeq lists it as uncharacterized. NCBI's taxonomy places the organism in Eukaryota, Viridiplantae, Streptophyta, Magnoliopsida, Poales, Bromeliaceae. The record is from RefSeq and is a predicted model, not a curated record. The transcript has 3 exons.